Molecule: ribosomal RNA, 252 nt
Filed under: uncultured Bacteroidales bacterium
Lineage: Bacteria; Pseudomonadati; Bacteroidota; Bacteroidia; Bacteroidales
Description: partial 16S ribosomal RNA
Rfam family: Bacterial small subunit ribosomal RNA
Source: RNAcentral
UACGGAGGAUGCGAGCGUUAUCCGGAUUUAUUGGGUUUAAAGGGUGCGUAGGCGGUCCGUUAAGUCAGCGGUAAAAUUGCGGGGCUCAACCCCGCCGAGCCGUCGGAACUGGGGGCCUUGAGUGCGGCGGAGGCAUGCGGAAUGCGCGGUGUAGCGGUGAAAUGCAUAGAUAUCGCGCAGAACCCCGAUUGCGAAGGCAGCAUACCGGCGCCCGACUGACGCUGAAGCACGAAAGCGUGGGUAUCGAACAGG